GGGUUGUGAGGUUAAGUGACUAAGCGUACACGGUGGAUGCCUAGGCAGUCAGAGGCGAUGAAGGGCGUGCUAAUCUGCGAAAAGCGUCGGUAAGGUGAUAUGAACCGUUAUAACCGGCGAUACCCGAAUGGGGAAACCCAGUGUGUUUCGACACACUAUCAUGUCAUGAAUACAUAGUGGCAUGAGGCGAACCGGGGGAACUGAAACAUCUAAGUACCCCGAGGAAAAGAAAUCAACCGAGAUUCCCCCAGUAGCGGCGAGCGAACGGGGAGGAGCCCAGAACCUGAAUCGGCUUGUGUGUUAGUGGAAGCGUCUGGAAAGUCGCGCAGUAAAGGGUGAUAGCCCCGUACACUAAAAUGCACAGGUCGUGAGUUCGAUGAGUAGGGCGGGACACGUGACAUCCUGUCUGAAUAUGGGGGGACCAUCCUCCAAGGCUAAAUACUCCUGACUGACCGAUAGUGAACCAGUACCGUGAGGGAAAGGCGAAAAGAACCCCGGCGAGGGGAGUGAAAUAGAACCUGAAACCGUGUACGUACAAGCAGUGGGAGCACCUUCGUGGUGUGACUGCGUACCUUUUGUAUAAUGGGUCAGCGACUUAUAUUUUGUAGCAAGGUUAACCGUAUAGGGGAGCCGUAGGGAAACCGAGUCUUAACUGGGCGACUAGUUGCAAGGUAUAGACCCGAAACCCGGUGAUCUAGCCAUGGGCAGGUUGAAGGUUGGGUAACACUAACUGGAGGACCGAACCGACUAAUGUUGAAAAAUUAGCGGAUGACUUGUGGCUGGGGGUGAAAGGCCAAUCAAACCGGGAGAUAGCUGGUUCUCCCCGAAAGCUAUUUAGGUAGCGCCUCGUGAACUCAUCUUCGGGGGUAGAGCACUGUUUCGGCUAGGGGGCCAUCCCGGCUUACCAAACCGAUGCAAACUCCGAAUACCGAAGAAUGUUAUCACGGGAGACACACGGCGGGUGCUAACGUCCGUCGUGAAGAGGGAAACAACCCAGACCGCCAGCUAAGGUCCCAAAGUCAUGGUUAAGUGGGAAACGAUGUGGGAAGGCAUAGACAGCCAGGAUGUUGGCUUAGAAGCAGCCAUCAUUUAAAGAAAGCGUAAUAGCUCACUGGUCGAGUCGGCCUGCGCGGAAGAUGUAACGGGGCUAAACCAUGCACCGAAGCUGCGGCAGCGACGCUUAGGCGUUGUUGGGUAGGGGAGCGUUCUGUAAGCCGUUGAAGGUGGCCUGUGAGGGUUGCUGGAGGUAUCAGAAGUGCGAAUGCUGACAUAAGUAACGAUAAAGCGGGUGAAAAGCCCGCUCGCCGGAAGACCAAGGGUUCCUGUCCAACGUUAAUCGGGGCAGGGUGAGUCGACCCCUAAGGCGAGGCUGAAAAGCGUAGUCGAUGGGAAACAGGUUAAUAUUCCUGUACUUGGUGUUACUGCGAAGGGGGGACGGAGAAGGCUAGGCUAGCCGGGCGACGGUUGUCCCGGUUUAAGCGUGUAGGGGGUGUGACCUGGUAAAUCCGGUUGCAUAUCAACCCUGAGGCGUGAUGACGAUGCACUACGGUGCAGAAGUAGUUGAUGCCCUGCUUCCAGGAAAAUCCUCUAAGCAUCAGGUAACAUUAAAUCGUACCCCAAACCGACACAGGUGGUCAGGUAGAGAAUACCAAGGCGCUUGAGAGAACUCGGGUGAAGGAACUAGGCAAAAUGGUGCCGUAACUUCGGGAGAAGGCACGCUGGCAUGUAGGUGAAGUCCCUUGCGGAUGGAGCUGAAGCCAGUCGAAGAUACCAGCUGGCUGCAACUGUUUAAUAAAAACACAGCACUGUGCAAACACGAAAGUGGACGUAUACGGUGUGACGCCUGCCCGGUGCUGGAAGGUUAAUUGAUGGGGUCAGCCGCAAGGCGAAGCUCUUGAUCGAAGCCCCAGUAAACGGCGGCCGUAACUAUAACGGUCCUAAGGUAGCGAAAUUCCUUGUCGGGUAAGUUCCGACCUGCACGAAUGGCGUAAUGAUGGCCAGGCUGUCUCCACCCGAGACUCAGUGAAAUUGAACUCGCUGUGAAGAUGCAGUGUACCCGCGGCAAGACGGAAAGACCCCGUGAACCUUUACUAUAGCUUGACACUGAACAUUGAGCCUUGAUGUGUAGGAUAGGUGGGAGGCUUUGAAGCGUGGACGCCAGUCUGCGUGGAGCCAUCCUUGAAAUACCACCCUUUAAUGUUUGAUGUUCUAACUCGGCCCCAUAAUCUGGGGUGAGGACAGUGUCUGGUGGGUAGUUUGACUGGGGCGGUCUCCUCCCAAAGAGUAACGGAGGAGCACGAAGGUUAGCUAAUCACGGUCGGACAUCGUGAGGUUAGUGCAAAGGCAUAAGCUAGCUUGACUGCGAGAGUGACGGCUCGAGCAGGUACGAAAGUAGGUCUUAGUGAUCCGGUGGUUCUGAAUGGAAGGGCCAUCGCUCAACGGAUAAAAGGUACUCCGGGGAUAACAGGCUGAUACCGCCCAAGAGUUCAUAUCGACGGCGGUGUUUGGCACCUCGAUGUCGGCUCAUCACAUCCUGGGGCUGAAGUAGGUCCCAAGGGUAUGGCUGUUCGCCAUUUAAAGUGGUACGCGAGCUGGGUUUAGAACGUCGUGAGACAGUUCGGUCCCUAUCUGCCGUGGGCGUUGGAAGAUUGAGAGGGGUUGCUCCUAGUACGAGAGGACCGGAGUGAACGCACCACUGGUGUUCGGGUUGUCAUGCCAAUGGCAUUGCCCGGUAGCUAAGUGCGGAAAAGAUAAGCGCUGAAAGCAUCUAAGCGCGAAACUUGCCUCAAGAUGAGUCUUCCCUGGGCCUUUAAGGCCCCUGAAGGAACGUUUAAGACUAAGACGUUGAUAGGCUGGGUGUGUAAGUGCAGCGAUGCAUUGAGCUAACCAGUACUAAUGAUCCGUGAGGCUUAACCUUACAACACCGAAGGUGUUU
This 2935-nucleotide ribosomal RNA is filed under the name Serratia marcescens. RNAcentral's name for it is "bacterial LSU rRNA". It matches the Rfam family "Bacterial large subunit ribosomal RNA". Lineage: Bacteria; Pseudomonadati; Pseudomonadota; Gammaproteobacteria; Enterobacterales; Yersiniaceae. The record is from RNAcentral.